GUCGGCGUGGCGGAACGGCAGACGCGCUAGCUUGAGGGGCUAGUGUCCGAAUGGACGUGAGGGUUCAAAUCCCUCCGCCGACACCA
Molecule: transfer RNA, 86 nt
Filed under: Coriobacteriales bacterium
Lineage: Bacteria; Bacillati; Actinomycetota; Coriobacteriia; Coriobacteriales
Description: tRNA-Leu
Rfam family: tRNA
About the family: Transfer RNA (tRNA) molecules are approximately 80 nucleotides in length.
Source: RNAcentral